ACCGCCAGCGCAAAAACGCACGUCGAUGUCUCUUUACCUGUUAAACGCGACGCUCAGCAGAGCAGGAUUUUGCACGCCGUUUCCAGCGACAUGGGAUAACGCGCACCGGCGCGCCUCGACAAGCUCACGGCGACUGAUCGCUGCGGAUUACCCGGCGUGACUGGCUUCCGGUAAGGACCGUGCAGCUUCCGUUUCAUCGCACCGUCCGUAUGGCUUAUUUCGACUGCAACUUCUACGCUAUGCUGCGUUAUCUCAGCAGGAUUUUGCGUCGAAAAUCCUACUAGGAAUUUUUCGACGAUCCAAAUCGAGUCCAAUGGUCUAUCACAUCAACUCCAAUCGCGGUUGAAACUGAUACUGCAGUUCUGAUGAACGACGGGGGAAAGGGUUUUCCCGGGGCGGCGCAACGUAUGAACGUAAGACGGCUCUCGGGAGGAACGAACGAAAUUUGUAACAACUGACGAGCUGACGACGACCGGCUGAAUGCACCGACUGUCCUCCGGCUGGCGCUCGAGAACACCAACAUUAUGAAUCGAGUUCGGCGACAAGUAGCAGCCGAGCCGCUGGGAGCGAUCCAACGACGCGAAGCAGCUAGAGUUGUUACGUCGAUACGAAACGCCGACACAGCUGGGGCCAUCUUUCUAGUGAGUAUAUCAUAUUGUUGAAAAUUGACAAAAGUACAAAGCUUUUUUAAUUGAACGCGUGAGUUUAGCUCGUGAUUCAGGACAGUUUUGAUAACCCAUUUGAUUGUGCAAGAUAUCGACAUUACUUCUUGUUGAGAAUAAUGUCAAAGACAAGUCUUUAUUCUGAAUUCUUCUUUAUCGUUGAAAGUGCCUCUAAAUGAGUUUAUAAACCAAUCAAAAAGCUUAAAAGUCACACUCAGGAUCGAUUUUUUUUUCAAAAACAAUUUGAACUUGAAUUUAAGUUGAAACUUUAUUCUAACAAUAUUAACAUUGGCAAGCAAUAUAAAUAUUGCUGUUAUACAGAAUUUAAAUCUAAAUCUAAGUUUGAAGAGUUUAAACCUAAAUCUAAGUUUGCUCAGAGUUUAAACUCGAAUUUAAAUAAAUCUAACUUAAAUCUACUAUUGAAAAAUUGGCCUUUAGAGACAAUUUUACAGAUAAAAAAGAAGAUUUCAAAACGAGGACAUUGGUGAGCGGUUUGAUUUUGAAAAGAUGUUGACUGAUGUGCGCUGUUCUUUAUGUCGCAUUUGAAAGGAUAGAAAUUUUCACUGAAAUCGCCAUGAAUCGUCAAAGUGACGCGAUGAGUAACGUUUGGCGUGUCGUUUCAACGUGAAAGUGGAAAUUCGAGACGCAUUGCGUAGAAUAUUUACGAGUUAGGGUAAAACACGAGGCAAAAGAUCCUCUCCUGAAUAUUGCUCAACCGGCGCCGUGUGAAAGUCGCUGUACAUUCUUUCGAAACCCCGCACGCACGCUCGCGUUUAUUUUUCGGAGUGUGGAAUACGCGCGGCUACGCGUGCAUGCGUACGUGUAUAUUAGGAGACGUUAUAUACGCGCGCACGCAAGCAAGCACGCACGAUACGUCGACGGAAUCGCCGUUCUAUUAUUAGACCGCCGGCGCUCGUCGUUGCAUCCGACGGCGGAAUGAAUGGAGAAUAUGCCCUCUGAAUAUUAGGAUGUCGUUCAUCGUGCCUUCUCGAGCGAAAUUAUCCGUCACUCGUCGAGAAAUGUAGAUUCGCGAUGUAAACCCGAACGCUUUCUUUUGGUUUCUCCUUCUCGGAAAGUCGGUCGCGUAUCGCGGUAAUUUUCGGAAAUCGAUCUUUAUGUCGACGCACAUUUCGAUAAUUACAUUUUUACACGGGCUCUCUGCCGUAUCGUGCAGUGCGACGAUACAAAAAAGAAAAAAACGAUCAGGAGAAUCGUUGGUGAUGUAUACUUGCCUUUUAUUUCGCAUCGUAAUAUACCCAUAAACAAUAUACUGAACAGUAAAUAUCGCUCUAAGGAAAUGCAGACGCGAAUACAAUCUAUCGCAAUUUGUUUACAUACAUUCUUCUUGCAUUAUCUAUACCUAGUUGAACGUACCGGCUAAAUUGAUGUCGUCGCGUCUUACGAAACAAUAAUAGCUUACGAUCACGUUGCAAUCUCUAAUACUUAGGAAAGCACGAUUCUAUCGCGCUGUACCGUUAUAAUCAUUACAAUUACGAAAUCGGUCUUAUUGCCAGUGAGAUAUCGAUUUGUACAAAGUAAUCUAACAACGAAUUUGGCCAAACUUGUGUUGACAGGAUAGUAGGUUUUUCGUUUCCUUCUCGCGAAAAAUUCAACUGACGGUUCCAUUGCAAAUCUCCCUCGUACGAAAUUGAAUGGAACUAAAUAGUUUCUCGGAUAUCGCCGCAUUGUCGCCGCGAUAUCUAUCACUUUCCGCGUUUAAAUAUAAAUGUAAGAACUUUCGCAUAGAAAUACAAUAUAAAUAUAGAUGACGAUUCGAAGAGUGAUGAUUUGUUUCGAGUUUCCGUGGCACAGGUACUAUACAACUCAGGAUGACAUAAAUAAAUUAUACAAUUGUUUCUCUCGUAAAAAAAAAUUCUAACGUAGACCUGUAAAUCUAUAAUCACGAUGACGAAUGUACUAACAAUGAUGGAACAUUAAUUAAUAAUGUCCUAAUUAUCUAAAAUUAUCAUAAAUAAAAGCGCAUAACUGAUACUGCAAUGAUAUGCGGUAAAACCGUAAUGACAUUCUCAAUAUACAUAGUAAGCUCGGGAAUUACGUUAUCGAGUUCCUUAUACGGUGUGUACAAAACAGUAUGAUCUGAUUGUGUAAAUGUUAAAUGAAAAUGUAUCCUAUCCUCCUGCAAACAAUAAGCACCCAUUUUAAGUGUCAUGACAGAGGUAAACUAAACGUCGAAGUAAACUAAACACAUAUUCACAUUUACGUUUCGCUUACAAUUAUAUGUAUAAAGUAUCAUACUAUUAUAAAAAUAUAACGUAUCGUCGUAGAUCCUCGUAUUCUCAGAUAACUAUAUAAAUCAUCGGGACGAAAGUGAAGAAACGUCGCACAUUUACACAUUGGCCUUAACAAAAAUGAAAGCAUAUACAUAACAUGAUGAACACCUGCGCUAUCUCCUCCUAUCAAUUUCGCAUGAAAUGUUAAUCGAGACAGACAUCUUCAUAGACAGUUUCUUCUUAAUAUUUUAUCAAUCUUGAGCAUCUAGAUAGAGGAAAAGAGAUACAAUUGUUAUGGAAAACAUGAUUUUACGAGAAACAUGACGUGUUCAAGCCCCAAGUCAUAUGUGUCUUUCGCGUUUAACAUUUCUUUACGAUAUUGCACAAUUAAUUUUUAAAUAAAAAUCUCGCUACAGAGGGCGUAUAUCUCUAUCUGUAUCAAACUUCUUGCACAGCUAUCUUUGUUACUUAUAUAAAUAAGUUGUAAAUUAAUCCUGUUAUCCGAACACUUUAUAUUAUCCUUCCCGAACACGAUCAAAUCUAGUGACUGUAAAGUACAAUUGUCACAGCGUAAAAUUUAACGAGCUGAGUUAAAGAUGAUAUAUAUUGGAUGUACAUGAUUGAAUUUCAGGCGUAUGAUUAUACAUGUACAAAAUGCCCAAUAAAUUGUAGUAUGAUCAUUUCUUUGCCGAUUAAUUUGUUAGACAUCUGGUAUAUGCAUAACAAAGUACGCUAAAUGUGGAACUGUUAUAUGAAUUGCUCUAACGUGUUAAAUAUUUAUUAUUAUCCGGUUUAUUCGAGUUAUAUUUGAUCAUAUAUGAUGUGUGUUAAUGUUAAUGUAAAUUCAAACCAAUUUAAUAUGCGAAGUUCAUGAUCUUGGUUCGGUAGCUAUAAAUUUGAGUUCUGCGGAAUAUUACGAUAUCCACAGUUCAUGUUUUCUAUACGAAUAUCAUUAAUUCUAUUGGAUUUCUGCGGAUUUGUAGGAGGAAGUCACUUAGCAUUUAUUUGCUAAUAUUAUUAUUAGUUUGUUCACUAUACAACUAUUUAAAAAUCUUAUGUCAUGCCUACCGCACGAAGUUAUCGAAGAACAAAUCAUAAUUAAUGAAGCAGUCUUAAACAAAUUGGCGCGAUGUGUCAUCGAUGGAUGUGAAAUUUUGUCCACAUAAUACUUUAUUAUAUAUUCCCUAAUUGAAAUGGGAGAAAGAGAGAGAGAGAGAGAGAGAGAGAGA
This is a long non-coding RNA of Odontomachus brunneus, 4122 nucleotides long. RefSeq lists it as uncharacterized. The transcript has 3 exons. NCBI's taxonomy places the organism in Eukaryota, Metazoa, Arthropoda, Insecta, Hymenoptera, Formicidae. The record is from RefSeq and is a predicted model, not a curated record.